GGCUUGGCCGCGCAGCUCCGUUGCGCGCUCACUCUGCGGCGGCUGGCGGGGUCGGCUUCGCUGGGGACUUCCAUUGCUGGCUCUGUUUUCUGGCCGGUCAGGCAGAACGAUGCCCGCUCCCUGCUUCCCGGCGUCCCGCGCGCCCGGUGACCAUUAGCCCGCUGCAGGGUUGUGGCGGUGAUCCCCUGCCUCCGACUUUCACCCAGCGUCCGGCUCGGAGCUUGCUGGCCGGCGGGGAGAGGCCCUGGUAGUGUCAGGAGGUUUCAAAGGCUCGAGUACCUCUACAGACCCAGCAGCUACUUCUGUGGUCAUGGAGAUCAUCUUCUACCAGGAUUAAUGUACGAUCUUCACCCAGCUUAUCACCCCCUAGUUGCAGCGUUGGGUCCUGAUUUCCACCAAUGAAGUUUUUUUAUCCUUUCUUG
RNAcentral lists this long non-coding RNA (422 nucleotides) under Rattus norvegicus (Norway rat). RNAcentral describes it as "long non-coding RNA NONRATT020517". The record is from RNAcentral. Lineage: Eukaryota; Metazoa; Chordata; Mammalia; Rodentia; Muridae.